GACGGCUUAGCAAAGUGGUUACUGCGAUUGAUUAGAAUUUAAUUUGAUGAUCAAUUCCUCUUCGAGGGCGUAGGUUCGAAUCCUACAGUCGUCG
This is a non-coding RNA of Clavulina sp. PMI_390, 94 nucleotides long. The record is from the annotation of a GenBank genome assembly. Lineage: Eukaryota; Fungi; Basidiomycota; Agaricomycetes; Cantharellales; Hydnaceae.